Molecule: ribosomal RNA, 253 nt
Filed under: uncultured bacterium
Lineage: Bacteria
Description: partial 16S ribosomal RNA
Rfam family: Bacterial small subunit ribosomal RNA
Source: RNAcentral
UACGUAGGGUGCAAGCGUUAUCCGGAAUUAUUGGGCGUAAAGGGCUCGUAGGCGGUUUGUCGCGUCGGGAGUGAAAACCAGGUGCUUAACACCUGGCUUGCUUUCGAUACGGGCAGACUAGAGGUAUGCAGGGGAGAACGGAAUUCCUGGUGUAGCGGUGAAAUGCGCAGAUAUCAGGAGGAACACCGGUGGCGAAGGCGGUUCUCUGGGCAUGACCUGACGCUGAGGAGCGAAAGUGUGGGGAGCGAACAGG